AGAAAAUUACGAGCGAAAGCCUAAAACUCAAAAGACUUGACGGUGCCCCAACCUACCUAGAGGAGCCUGUUCCAUAAUCGAUAAUCCACGAUCAACCCAACCACCCCUUGAAACCACAGCCUAUAUACCGCCGUCGUCAGCCUACCUUCUUAAAGAGACAAAGUAGGCUAAAUAGAGCCCCCCCCCUAAAAAGUCAGGUCAAGGUGUAGCUAAUGGUGUGGAGAUAAUGGGCUACAUUUUCUAACAUAGAACACACGAACUAGUGCCUGAAAUUAACUAUAAAGGUGGAUUUAGCAGUAAGCCAAACAAGAACACUUGACUUAAC
Molecule: ribosomal RNA, 325 nt
Filed under: Heterodactylus imbricatus
Lineage: Eukaryota; Metazoa; Chordata; Lepidosauria; Squamata; Gymnophthalmidae
Description: partial 12S ribosomal RNA
Rfam family: Bacterial small subunit ribosomal RNA
Source: RNAcentral